CUAAGGGAGGAAUUAUGGGAAAGGGGCGAGUUUAUAAAAGGCCUAGGUUCGGCCAGGCUCCGUGGCGUACACCUGUUAUCCCAGCAUUUUGGGAGGUCGCUGUGGGCGUAUCAGGAGGCCAGGAAAUCGGAACCAUCCUGGCCAGCAUGUCCAUCUCUUUCUUCUGAAGAGGCACAGACUGAAGUUCUGCGGACCCGACCCGAAAGGAUAGUCUGGUACUCGGGGCAACUCGGAUCUCUUCCACCACCAACAAAAAAUUACUCUGGUUGCUAUGUAUGUGCAGGAUAUGCUAUAAGAGAUGAGUGUGAAAGUAGUGAAAUCCUUCAGGAGGCUGUUGAAGUAAUCUCAGUGAGAAGUCAUGGUGGCUUGGACCAGGGUGAGCUCAGCAGAGAUGGGGAGAAGGAGACCUGAUACAUUCCAGAUAUGUUUUGAAAGGCCUGGCUGCUGAUGGAGCUGAUUUAGGAAUAGUGUAUGGGAUUUUCUUUUUCUUUUCCUGCAAAUAAAGUAAUUUUGUAACAUCCUUUUCCUUUAACUAUUAUUGAACCUACCCCACCUUAUAAUGACCAAAGUGAAUCAUUUAUUGAUUGAUUUAGAGACAGAGUUUCACUCUUGUCGCCCAGGCUGGAGUGCAAUCAAGAGAUCUCUGCUGACUGCAACCUCCACCAACUAGGUUCAAGCGAUUCUCCCGCCUCAUCCUCCCAAGUAGCUGGGAUUAUAGUCGCCUAUCACCACACCUGGCUCAUUUUUGUCUUUUUAGUAGAGACAGGGUUUUACCACGCUGGCCAGGCUGAUCUCAAACUCCUGACCUCAGGUGAUCCGCCCACCGUGGCCUCCCAAAGUGCCGAGAUUACAGGCCUGAACUAAUGCGCCCACGUGUGUUUGUUUAAAUAUGUCUGUAUCAAGAUAGUUCUGGUACUAAGAUUUCUUAUUUGCUACAUGCUUCCUGCCUCUCUGAUUUCCUGGAUCUUUUCUCUGACUUCAGAUGCAUUCAGGCCCUCCUUCCCUCCAGUUUCUUCUCUCUGAUCAGUUUUCUGCUCUGUGUGUUUCCCUGAUUUGGGCCCCUUCUUGCUAAUCAGAAUGCAGUCUUGAUGGUUGGACAUCAAGCAGCCAUGUUAAAUAACUAGGUGGAAGCCAUUGCUGAGGAUGAUGGUGUAGAAAGACAGAAGGAGUUAUGUUCAUGAAGCAUCCCUCACAACUGUAGACUGUCACUGGACAAUUUCCUGAAAGUGAGAAUAGUACUUCUAUCUUCUUUUAAGGUAAAGUUACGUUGUUAUUCCCAGGCAAAUAUAGCCUGAACUAUCACCGUGCUAGGAAUGGUGGGUUUUGUUUGGUUUGUUUUGUAUUUUAUUUUGUGACGGACUCUCGCUCUGUUGCCCAGGCUGGCAUACAGUGGCAUAAUCUCAGCUCAUUGCAACCUCUGCCUCCUAGGUUCAAGCAAUUCUCCUGCCUCAGCCUCCUGAGUAGUUGGGAUUGCACGCAUGCACCACGACACCUGGCUAAUUUUUUUUUUUUUUAAUAGAGGCAGCGUUUCACCAUGUUGGCCACACUGGUCUCAAACUCUUGAUCUCAAGUGAUCCAUCCACCCGAGCGUCCCAAAGUGCUGGGAUUACAGGCUUGAGCCACUGUAUCCAGUGGGAAUAGUGAGAUUCCUUCCUGUGUUUCUUCAUCUGUCACGCACAAUUAUUUGCUUCCUUGUUUGAGCAAUAACUUGGCAUUUCAAUCCAUUUCAGAUUUAUCACUUCUUUAAAUGCAUUGCUCACGUAUCUUACUAUGUAUCCUUUGAGAGGAAGCAUUUCUUAUUAUCGUGUCUGGCUCAUUCCCAUCCCAAGCAUAGUCCCCCUCACACCUAGGAGAAAAUAAAUGUUUGCAGAAUGAAUAAAUGAAUUCAGUCAUCAACUAUAGUCUCUUGAUGGAGCUUCCUAACUAGGAGGGGUUUCACCUACUGCAGCUUGAAUCCUAUUUUAACAAGCACUAGUAGAUUUAAAACAACUGCAUAUCAUAAAGAGAUACUCUAAUUCCUACCAAUAGCUAUCGAAAAACAAAUAUACGUUGAUCAAAUGACCAUGACAUUCUCAGAUCUAAGAAUCCACAUAAAUGAUAGGUAAACCCUGUACACAGAGGGCUUAGAGACAGUUGUGGUAUGAUUUUUUAAAAUUUAUAGAUGGGGUCUUGCCAUGUUGUCCAGGCCACUGUGCAGUGACUGAUCUCAGGUGCAAUCACAGCUCACUGCAGCUUUGAAUUCCUGAGAUCAAGUGAUCCUCCCACGUCAAUCUCCCAAGCAGUUGAGAUACAUGUUUACACACAGAGAGAAAGGAUAUAAAUUCUGCAGGAGGUUUAGCAAUAAAAUAAAAUCAUUGGUUGAUUUGUACAGAAAAGUUCAAACCUCUCACCUCCCCAAAGUCUCUGCCCAAGCUCUCCAGACAAAAAUGGCUUAGAAGAGAUGGGGUGCAUAUAAUUGUCCUUUUCGUCCUUUCAUGGAUCAUCUUAAGAGUCACCUAUUUAAUAAUCCGCCUGCAGGCCUUGGACACUGUCAUAACCUUUGGAGGAACAAAGUUUAAAGGCAGGCAAGAUGAAAGACAGGUGUUUCUCCUUUGAGGCAUAGAAAUUCAAGAGGUUUGGGAAAGAGGUGUCAAGGUCAGAGUUUAUCUGACUGAAUAUAGCUACCAUACAAGUCUGAGUUGGAAACCUAUCCUGCCUGAGGUUAUGAGGGUGAGAAUCUGUUGGAUAAAGGAGGGAAGGCUGCAAAUGCAUUUAGUGAGUGGUCCUGAUGGUGUUCACCUGGGCAGUUAGGGAGUGGAAGAACCUUGAUAGCAAGAGAUUAUUGGAGAAAGCCACUCACGGUUGUGCUUGAUCCAGUAAUACCGCCUAAGACUUUGCCAGGCAAGUGGUCUGUUUUUUAGCUCAUGUUACCCCAGGGCCCUGUGGACACAGACACUGAGUAGGCCUUAACCAAUAUGUUAGAUAACGUGUCUGAAACAUAUUAUAGAUCAGUAACCAUCAUUGGGAUGAAAGGAACUGAAACUUACCCCUGGAAAUAUAUAAAGGAGGAAUAAUAAAGUGUGUGUGUGUGUGUGUGUGUGUGUGUCUGCAUGUCUGUAUGUGUGUGUGUGUGUGUGUGUGUGUGUGUAUAUAUAUAUCAAGAGAGAGACAGAAUAAGACUUAUUCUAAGAUCAAAAUGCAGUAUCUCUCAAAGGCCUACAUCUGGAAAGCCCUUUUGCAUUUUUUUCAGAUGUCUGAAUUAAGACAUUGUUCUAUUGCCACUAGGGAAAAGAAAAUCUGACACCUCACAAUCAAACAGGAAGAAACAGAACAGGAGAGAGAAAGUGAGCGGAGAGAGAGGCAGAAAUUACAGAUGACACUACUGGUGCCUCUAAUCAUA
This is a non-coding RNA of Callithrix jacchus (white-tufted-ear marmoset), 3379 nucleotides long. NCBI's taxonomy places the organism in Eukaryota, Metazoa, Chordata, Mammalia, Primates, Cebidae. The record is from RefSeq and is a predicted model, not a curated record.